RNAcentral lists this ribosomal RNA (492 nucleotides) under uncultured bacterium. RNAcentral's name for it is "partial 16S ribosomal RNA". It matches the Rfam family "Bacterial small subunit ribosomal RNA", at positions 29 to 507 of the family's 1533-position model. The record is from RNAcentral.
AGUGAACGCUGGCGGUAGGCCUAACACAUGCAAGUCGAACGGCAGCACAGUAAGAGCUUGCUCUUACGGGUGGCGAGUGGCGGACGGGUGAGGAAUACAUCGGAAUCUACUUUUUCGUGGGGGAUAACGUAGGGAAACUUACGCUAAUACCGCAUACGACCUACGGGUGGAAGCAGGGGAUCUUCGGACCUUGCGCGAUUGAAUGAGCCGAUGUCGGAUUAGCUAGUUGGCGGGGUAAAGGCCCACCAAGGCGACGAUCCGUAGCUGGUCUGAGAGGAUGAUCAGCCACACUGGAACUGAGACACGGUCCAGACUCCUACGGGAGGCAGCAGUGGGGAAUAUUGGACAAUGGGCGCAAGCCUGAUCCAGCCAUACCGCGUGGGUGAAGAAGGUCUUCGGGUUGUAAAGCCCUUUUGUUGGGAAGGAAAAGCAGCAGGUUAAUACCCCGCUGUUCUGACGGUACCCAAAGAAUAAGCACCGGCUAACUUCGUG